UACAGGUGUUGCAUGGCUGUCGUCAGCUCGUGUCGUGAGAUGUUCGGUUAAGUCCGCUAACGAGCGCAACCCUCGUCGUAUGUUAUAUGUGUCAUACGAGACUGCCGGUAAAAAGCCGGAGGAAGGUGAGGAUGAUGUCAAGUCAGCAUGACCUUUAUAUCCAGGGCUACACACACGCUACAAUGGUCUGUACAAUGGGUAGCCAAGCCGCGAGGCGGAGCCAAUCCUGAAAGCAGGCCUCAGUUCAGAUUGUAGGCUGAAACUGCCUGCAUGAAGUUGGAGUUGCUAGUAGCCGCAGGUCAGCACACUGCGGUGAAUACGUUCUCGGGCCUU
RNAcentral lists this ribosomal RNA (333 nucleotides) under uncultured Anaerolineaceae bacterium. Its description in RNAcentral is "bacterial SSU rRNA". It matches the Rfam family "Bacterial small subunit ribosomal RNA", at positions 1033 to 1382 of the family's 1533-position model. The record is from RNAcentral. Lineage: Bacteria; Bacillati; Chloroflexota; Anaerolineae; Anaerolineales; Anaerolineaceae.